RNAcentral lists this non-coding RNA (45 nucleotides) under Schistosoma mansoni. Lineage: Eukaryota; Metazoa; Platyhelminthes; Trematoda; Strigeidida; Schistosomatidae. The record is from RNAcentral.
AUCUAGCUGACGAGUCUCAAAUAGGACAAAACGCGCGAUCUGGAU